This 253-nucleotide ribosomal RNA is filed under the name uncultured bacterium. RNAcentral's name for it is "partial 16S ribosomal RNA". It matches the Rfam family "Bacterial small subunit ribosomal RNA", at positions 524 to 776 of the family's 1533-position model. The record is from RNAcentral.
GACGAACCGAGCGAACGUUGUUCGGAAUCACUGGGCUUAAAGGGCGCGUAGGCGGGUGCUCAAGUCCGGGGUGAAAUCCCACAGCUCAACUGUGGAACUGCCUCGGAUACUGGGUGCCUCGAGUGUGGUAGGAGUGUGCGGAACUAUCGGUGGAGCGGUGAAAUGCGUUGAUAUCGAUAGGAACUCCGGUGGCGAAGGCGGCACACUGGACCACAACUGACGCUGAGGCGCGAAAGCCAGGGGAGCAAACGGG